This 945-nucleotide ribosomal RNA is filed under the name human gut metagenome. RNAcentral describes it as "bacterial SSU rRNA". It matches the Rfam family "Bacterial small subunit ribosomal RNA", at positions 8 to 948 of the family's 1533-position model. The record is from RNAcentral.
AGAGUUUGAUCCUGGCUCAGGACGAACGCUGGCGGCGUGCCUAACACAUGCAAGUCGAACGAGAAUCUUUGAACAGAUCUUUUCGGAGUGACGUUCAAAGAGGAAAGUGGCGGACGGGCGAGUAACGCGUGAGUAACCUGCCCAUAAGAGGGGGAUAAUCCAUGGAAACGUGGACUAAUACCGCAUAUUGUAGUUAAGUUGCAUGACUUGAUUAUGAAAGAUUUAUCGCUUAUGGAUGGACUCGCGUCAGAUUAGAUAGUUGGUGAGGUAACGGCUCACCAAGUCAACGAUCUGUAGCCGAACUGAGAGGUUGAUCGGCCGCAUUGGGACUGAGACACGGCCCAGACUCCUACGGGAGGCAGCAGUGGGGAAUAUUGCGCAAUGGGGGCAACCCUGACGCAGCAACGCCGCGUGCAGGAAGAAGGUCUUCGGAUUGUAAACUGUUGUCGCAAGGGAAGAAGACAGUGACGGUACCUUGUGAGAAAGUCACGGCUAACUACGUGCCAGCAGCCGCGGUAAUACGUAGGUGACAAGCGUUGUCCGGAUUUACUGGGUGUAAAGGGCGCGUAGGCGGACUGUCAAGUCAGUCGUGAAAUACCGGGGCUUAACCCCGGGGCUGCGAUUGAAACUGACAGCCUUGAGUAUCGGAGAGGAAAGCGGAAUUCCUAGUGUAGCGGUGAAAUGCGUAGAUAUUAGGAGGAACACCAGUGGCGAAGGCGGCUUUCUGGACGACAACUGACGCUGAGGCGCGAAAGUGUGGGGAGCAAACAGGAUUAGAUACCCUGGUAGUCCACACCGUAAACGAUGGAUACUAGGUGUAGGAGGUAUCGACCCCUUCUGUGCCGCAGUUAACACAAUAAGUAUCCCACCUGGGGAGUACGACCGCAAGGUUGAAACUCAAAGGAAUUGACGGGGGCCCGCACAAGCAGUGGAGUAUGUGGUUUA